AAAGUCUCCCCAGGAUCCUGAAAGCUCUUGCUAAUAUUUCUGCUCAGGAAAGGGGUUGUGAUGAGUGCCUAAACACUGAAGAACCUGGAGGGAGAGCUCACAGCAGGUUACGGCGAGCCUCUCGGGUUCACAGCUCUGGGACAGAGGAUGGGGCGGCAGUGAAUGGAGGUGGUUCUCAAAGUCCACAUCACAACACACCUGCUCGUCACAGCAUAGGUGGACUUCCCUGUAGCAGCAGUAAUCAGGAGCACCCAGGGGUUUCUGGAGCUUCGAGCCGCUCUACCACUCCCAUCCAUCUCCCUGCUGAAUUCUUCCACCCAGUUGCAGCGGCCCUCCCCGCACCUCCGAGAGGCCGACCGGGGCACAAACCAAGAGGGCUUCGGCUAACUUCCCCAGCCUCAUGGGCGUCUCUACGCUCUCCUGGAGCAAACACCAGGCUGCUCACCACACAGUAUCCAUCUCACAGUGACUCCUCCCUGGCUACGGGGAGCUCAGAGAGCAGCCUACUGACCACCAUGGAAGAAGGGCUCCGUUUCAUCGUAUCCACUACCCAGCCACUGCUGGACACACUCCUCAACGAUCGGGCCAGCCUCUCCACGGAGACCCUGAGACCCAGUCCUCCAGCCGCCCAGAACCUCCAAACUACGAGGGGACACCAGCGCAGCAAGAGCAGCUGUGAAACGGACAUCAGUGCAGGAAGAACUCAGCAAGGCUCCGAUGAGGAUGUAGGGAUGGUACGGUGCGGCUCUAACCAGACGUGUGACAGCCAGCAGCUCUCAGAGACGCCGAGCAGCCUGUCGCUGACGUCGCUGCUUCUGCCAAGCUCUGUAGCUCCCCCGUCUGUGAAAAAGUGCAACAGCACGGGCAGCUUAGACCACGGGACUCUCACAACCCAAGAAAAAGUGUUCAUAAAAGAGGCACAGGGUAAAAUCACCAGCCCCUGGAAAGAAAGUAGAGAAGCAAAAAGAGAGAGUCAGUCGGAGGCAGCACAAGGAAAAG
RNAcentral lists this long non-coding RNA (999 nucleotides) under Sinocyclocheilus grahami. Its description in RNAcentral is "lncRNA (ENSSGRG00000014606.1)". Lineage: Eukaryota; Metazoa; Chordata; Actinopteri; Cypriniformes; Cyprinidae. The record is from RNAcentral.